RNAcentral lists this ribosomal RNA (455 nucleotides) under uncultured bacterium. RNAcentral's name for it is "bacterial SSU rRNA". It matches the Rfam family "Bacterial small subunit ribosomal RNA", at positions 340 to 786 of the family's 1533-position model. The record is from RNAcentral.
UACGGAAGGCAGCAGUGGGGAAUAUUGCACAAUGGGCGCAAGCCUGAUGCAGCCAUGCCGCGUGUAUGAAGAAGGCCUUCGGGUUGUAAAGUACUUUCAGUCGUGAGGAAGGUGUUAAGGUUAAUAACCUUAGCAAUUGACGUUAGCGACAGAAGAAGCACCGGCUAACUCCGUGCCAGCAGCCGCGGUAAUACGGAGGGUGCGAGCGUUAAUCGGAAUUACUGGGCGUAAAGGGCACGCAGGCGGUUAAUUAAGUUGGAUGUGAAAUCCCCGGGCUUAACCUGGGAAUGGCAUUCAAGACUGGUUAGCUAGAGUCUUGUAGAGGGGGUAGAAUUCCAUGUGUAGCGGUGAAAUGCGUAGAGAUGUGGAGGAAUACCGGUGGCGAAAGGCGGCCCCUGGACAAAGACUGACGCUCAUGUGCGAAAGCGUGGGGAGCAAAACAGGGAUUAGAUACC